RNAcentral lists this long non-coding RNA (4214 nucleotides) under Triticum aestivum (bread wheat). Its description in RNAcentral is "long non-coding RNA (TAES_LNC004619)". The record is from RNAcentral. Lineage: Eukaryota; Viridiplantae; Streptophyta; Magnoliopsida; Poales; Poaceae.
AGCGCUCGAUCCUUCUCGAAAAGGGCAGAAAAGGAUGGAAGCCAACUGGGCAUGGCCGCUGCCGCUCCACACGCCGCCGGCGCCGGUCGCUCCAAAUGCCUCGCCUACCUCCUCUCCCCCGUAGCAGCCCUGCGGCUCACUACCACCUCCACCGCCACUCUCCUCCUCCCCGUUGUCUCUUCUCCCUCCUACCCCGUCUCUCGGACGCCGAAGUCAGCAAUUAUGCCGUCGGCUCCGCCGUCCCCCGAAUCCGUGAUGUCUAUGGCCUCCUUCUCUGAUAACGCAGCCAUACGCCAGAUGUAGCGGCCCUGUCGGCAAGUACGCCGCCAACACCUCCCCCAAACUCAAGUCUGCCACGCCUCUCCUGCAUCCCGCUCCGAUGCAAAAGCCCGCCGCCUCCCCGUCCUCCUAGCCAUCUCCUCGACACCGACCUUCGCGUACGACGGCUACACACUUCUCAUCCUCGGUAGCGGCGGCGCCACCUGCUACAUCCUUCCCCACCGUCGUGCUCCACGUUUGUCCAUUCGAGUACGAGCUGCUCCCCGAGGACCUCUUCGCCACCAGAUAUUGGAGCGCCACCCACGGCUCCACACCCGCGUCCUCCUCCAAUCGACUCCGUCUCGAAGAUGGCUGGUCUGAUGUGAUGUUGAUGUGGAGGUACUACGCUCUGCUAUUUCCUUUCCUUCCAAUACAAAGUUCAAUUUUUCUAUCACCUAAGUUUCAAAUCAGCAUCCAACUAACUGUCUAUAAACCACUCAUGUAGCCCAAUAUAAAUCAGUGUGCAGGCAUAUGGGACUCACGCUGCUCAAACUACAGCCACUCACUAACUACACCCUCAAGAAGCCACACGAUCUUUAGAUAGAACGGACAAUGGAGUGCGAGGAGGUGUGAUUCACUGCCAUUCGCCAUCUAAUAUGCUUCGUCAAGGACAAGGUAUGGGUGUGGACGAAGAGUAAAAUCUUCUAUACGUCUCAUCUAUCUUGCUUCAUCUUUGUUAGAGGAUCCUUGUGCUAUAUGUUCUGGUGGUAACAAAUGGACAGUUGGAGUAUCUAUAAUCUUCUUGCGGAAUGAAAAACUUUGAGUAUUGGAAAUGUUGGUGUAUACCUCCCUGAACCGGUAUUUUCACACAUGCUAUGUUGCUCUUCUACAGCUACAUCUAGAAGUGCUAUAAAGAUUCUUACACUCUCGGAUAAGCAAAAGGAAGGUCAAUCCAACUCCAUUGCAAUUUUACAAAGAAAUGGUCCACAAAGAAGUCUCAGUGUGUAGUCCAAGGUCUGAAUCAAGUACAAUUUGGUGGCUGUAAAAAAUCAUUCUAUCUAAUAGGUCAUUCAUCUAAAAUUGUUUCCCAUGUACGGUUCUAAAGUUUGUGCAGAGGACUUUCAGAAAAAAUAACUUUAGAUACUUGCUUUACUGUUCAUGAUAUUUUUGUAAUCGUACAUGUGUUUGAAUAGUUUUUUUGGUAGUUCUCUUUAUUACUCUCUCUGUUCAAAAAAAUUUGGAUGACGCCUAUUGCAGGUGUCUUUGCCAUCCGCGCCCCUCCUUUGGUUGGUAGCUCCACAUCUAAUUUAUCAGGUCACACCCAAAAUUUGUUUUUCCUUGAUGUCUGUUAGCUGCAGUUUUUUUGCAGAAACUUGCUUGAUGUAAGAAAGUUGAAAGAGGCCUGGUGCAGUUUUUUUUGUGUGUGUAUACAUGCACACUCGCCCCAUCUAUAUACAGAUGAUUUGAAUGCAUCUCUUACUGUACAUUUUGUUUCGUUGCUUGGUACAAAAUGUAUUGCAAGUGAUAUUCAUUGUUUUCGCUUUGUUUAUAUAUACUGCAAGCUCAGUUUUUUUUCCUUUAGAUGAAUGUAACACAGGCAGUUAUGUAAGCAAUAGUGAUUGUUUGAUUUCCUUCUAGGUGAGCAUAUGGAUGGAGUGAAACCCCCGGAAAUAAUAUAGUUGGUACAUGUAUUUUGAGUAAACAAUUAAACGAAGGGUAUACUAUGCUCGUCAAAUGAUCCCAUGGCGUGAUCUAAGGUAUGUAAGUAAGUGGAACUAGCUGUGUGAUUUAUGUCUGGAUUAUUUCUUCUCUUCAUGGUGCACUGUAUACAAAUCCAUUUUCUUGUGCAUAUUUACCAAAGCAUUCAGUUAAACACUUCUACUUCAUUCUUGUUUUCCUGGAACCAUUUAUAAGUAUGUUCUCAAGCUAUAGUGUGUAUGCUAUUUUGAUAUAUAAAUUGCUGCAAUUUAUCUUCACUUAAGUCUGUUGUGCCUAAUAUACUUGCACGAAAUGAGCAAUGUUGACUUCCUGGAUGAACAGUAACUGAUUAACUUAUUUCUUUCUACAGCCUUUCCAAGGAAAUAAGCAAUUCUCUGUUGAAGUAGUUCUAAGGCUGGACAUGAUAUAUGUAUUUAUUUUCACCCGCAAAAAAAAUUAAUUAUAUGUAUUAUAGACCGCAGGCUGUGCUGGAAAUUUGGGAAAUAUGAUGUGGGCGCGUUCGUCGCAUCUUUCAAAAUUUAGUGUUAUCGGUUGUGAAGCUCGCACGCCUCACAAUUAACGAAGCCAAUGUUGGAAGGACGCUGACACAUGGCACAUCGUUUUACAUAUUAGUCUAGCUUGGUGAGCCCCAGUCAUUUUGUUUGUACUUGUAUAUAUUCUCUUCUGCGUGCAAAUUGCAAUAUGUUUGUUAGACUAUAUUGUCCAGAGCAACUUACGGGUUCCUAAACAUAAAUACACCCAAUCUUGUGUGAUCCCGUACCGUAGCACGGGCAUCUUACUAGUAAUAAUAAUAGUGCAUGUACAUUGAACUAAGCUGGAAUCUGCAAACAUUCAAUUCAAGGGAGAAGACAAGGUAAUAUGGGCUCUUCGUUAAAUCAACAAUCAUGCAUGUAGAACCAUUAAACAUUUUUAUUAUGGUCUUCUCCUCUCGACCCCCAAAGAAAAGAAAAGAAAUAAAACUAUUUACACGGGAAAGCUCCCAACAAGCAAAAGAAGAACGAGAAAUCUUUUUGGGUUUUCAUUUUACUACUACAACAUGGAAAUUAAACCAAUUAAUUUUUUGGUUUUUCUUAAGGUUUAUCAAAUGCACAAGAAGAAAAAUCAAAAAAGAAAUUAAACUAGCAUGGAUAAUACAAUGAAAAAGUAUGAGCACCGACAACUGGAAUAAGUGUGUGAACAUGAAUGUAUUGUCGGUGAGAAAUACGUACUCCCCCAAGCUUAGCUUUUGGCCUAAGUUGGUCUAUGCCCAUGGAUUGCGGCUACUCUUCCCGAUGUACUGAGGAGUGUCUUUGUACUGCCACUAGCUAGCGAUCUGCUCCGGAUCACACUAAUAAGAUGAUGGGCGAUAAGGAUCAAGUGGUGGUUCCGGCUCAGGCUCUGGAGCUGAUGUCUGGCCUCGAUGCGCGUACACGGCCGACGGCAAGACGAGGUAAUGGCCUGCAGUUAAAUCAAACAAAGAAGGUGCAGGCAGGAUAAUAAUCUCAUUGUGUUUCUUAUUAAAUUUCAGGUUAUACAGAAGCAUCUUAUCAUCAUUGUCAACAAUAAACUCAUGCACUACAAUGCUCCUGUAAUCUAAAAAGGUAGGGGGCAGCAGUGUCUCCUCUUUCUCAUAAUGCCUAAUAGGUAUCUCAAAAUGUUUAGCAAGGCGUGCAGCAUAGAUACCUCCAAAGAUGGGGCCCUUUGUACGGUUUAGGCUUAAUUGUUUAGCAAUAACGGCACCCAUACUAAAAGAGUGAUCGCGGAAUAAGGCAUGGAACAAAAUAAUAAUAUCAGGAACAUUGAGGUUUCCACAGUUUCCGCGACCAAUUAAACAUCGACUAGCAAAUAUGGCAAAGUAGCGUAAAACAGGAAAAUGUAUGUUAGUGAUUCUUGCAUCGGAAAUCUCCCUCGAUUCCCCUACAAUAAUAGUAUCAAUAAAACCAUCCACAUCUUUACGAUGUGGUUCAUCUAAAAUGCCCUCGAAGGGUAUUUUGCAAACCGCACAAAAAUUACGUAAUGACAUCUCUUUAGCCUCAUCAUAUAAAUGAAAAGCUACUGAAGGAGGUGAAUUCUUAAGAUAAUAGUAGAAGUUUUGCACGAAAGUAUUAGUGAGUAGGAGAUACUGUUCGAUCCGGCCCUGGAGGAAGUCGAUGAGGCCCGCAUUAUUAGCCAAAGAAUAAAAGUCUUCAUAAAUUCCGGCUGCUCUCAAGAAAUUAUCACAAGGCCACUCACACGGCCUUACUUUCGCUACGCGAGGA